Molecule: ribosomal RNA, 409 nt
Filed under: uncultured bacterium
Lineage: Bacteria
Description: bacterial SSU rRNA
Rfam family: Bacterial small subunit ribosomal RNA
Source: RNAcentral
AGCAGUGGGGAAUAUUGGACAAUGGGCGAAAGCCUGAUCCAGCCAUGCCGCGUGUGUGAAGAAGGUCCUCGGAUUGUAAAGCACUUUAAGUUGGGAGGAAGGGCAUUAACCUAAUACGUUAGUGUUUUGACGUUACCGACAGAAUAAGCACCGGCUAACUCUGUGCCAGCAGCCGCGGUAAUACAGAGGGUGCAAGCGUUAAUCGGAAUUACUGGGCGUAAAGCGCGCGUAGGUGGUUUGUUAAGUUGGAUGUGAAAUCCCCGGGCUCAACCUGGGAACUGCAUUCAAAACUGACUGACUAGAGUAUGGUAGAGGGUGGUGGAAUUUCCUGUGUAGCGGUGAAAUGCGUAGAUAUAGGAAGGAACACCAGUGGCGAAGGCGACCACCUGGGCUCAUACUGACACUGAGG